AUUGUUUCAUGGUCCUGAGAAACCUGAAAGGCAAUAAUCUAAUUUGUUAAAAAGCACAUAAAGGUAUGAUAUUUGGAGCAGGGAGUUGGAAUAGGAGCUUGCUCCGUCCACUCCACGCAUCGACCUGGUAUUGCAGUACUUCCAGGAACGGUGCACCAAAA
This 161-nucleotide small nuclear RNA is filed under the name Cervus hanglu yarkandensis (Yarkand deer). RNAcentral's name for it is "U2 spliceosomal RNA (ENSCHYG00000005004.1)". It matches the Rfam family "U2 spliceosomal RNA". From Rfam's summary of the family: U2 is a small nuclear RNA (snRNA) component of the spliceosome (involved in pre-mRNA splicing). Lineage: Eukaryota; Metazoa; Chordata; Mammalia; Artiodactyla; Cervidae. The record is from Rfam by way of RNAcentral.